This 781-nucleotide long non-coding RNA is filed under the name Salmo salar (Atlantic salmon). RNAcentral describes it as "lncRNA (ENSSSAG00000117624.1)". The record is from RNAcentral. Lineage: Eukaryota; Metazoa; Chordata; Actinopteri; Salmoniformes; Salmonidae.
CGAACAUGCAACAUCGAGAAGACCAGCAAGGGGACCCUCAGCAUCACAUAGACAUGCCCUCACUGUGAGCAUUCCUAUAAAUGGAACAGGGUGAACACUAGAAUCAGGGGCCAGGAGCUGAUCUACACUGCCAUGCCCAUCAAUGGGGCACUGGCAAGACCUCACCUCCAGCCUCAUCUCUAUUUCUACAGAUGAAGAGGACUGUAGAUGCUUUUGCCAGAUGCCAGCCUCUGUCGUUUGAUGGGGAGACCAUAAUUAGGUAGGUUUUAUCUGACCAGUUCAAUCUUCAACAUAGUACCUGUUUGUGUGUCAGAUGUGACCUAUUCUAACUGCCAUUGGUGAUAGAACAGUGACUCUGGGCUCUACCAACUGAGCCACAGGGAAGGUCCUGACCAGUAAGGGGUCAUUUUGUUAUUGUAGUUGGUCAGGACGUGGCAGGGGUGUGUUUGUUUUGUGUGUUUUGGGGUUUUUGGUUUAUGUUCUAUGUUUUCUAUUUCUAUGUGGGUGUUCUAGUUUGUCUAAUUCUAUGUUAGUUUUGGGAACGACCUCCAAUUAGAAGCAGCUGGUUGUCGUUGCUUCUAAUUGGAAGCCAUAUUUAAGUGGGUUUAUUUUCUCUUGUGUUUGUGGGUGGUUGUUUCUUUGUAUAGCUGUGUAGUCUUACAGGACUGUCAUUUGUUUUCUUGUUUUGUUUAGUGUUCACGCUUAAAAAUAAAGGUAUAAGUAUGGACACUUACCACGCUGCGUAUUGGUCCGAUGAUUUCUCCUCAUCAGAAGACGAAGC